This is a long non-coding RNA of Zingiber officinale, 2598 nucleotides long. RefSeq lists it as uncharacterized. The transcript has 2 exons. The record is from RefSeq and is a predicted model, not a curated record. NCBI's taxonomy places the organism in Eukaryota, Viridiplantae, Streptophyta, Magnoliopsida, Zingiberales, Zingiberaceae.
GGAUUCGCUGUGUUUCAAAUCGCCCUGCGUCUCUCUCUCUCUCUCUCUCUCUGAAUUAGGGUUAUUACGGUUGGCUGCCGCCGCAAGGUAAAUCCUUCUAUCUCUGCCUCUGAAGUUGAGGGUGGAAGUUGGAGAACGUGCGAUGAUGAUGGUAAUCUUCAUCUCGUUAAUCUGAUCUCUUCAUUAACAGUGAGGAAAGCAUUAAUCCAUUCAAACCGCUCUGAGCACGUCCUCUCAACUCUAUUUCGCGCAUUUCCUUCUUCGUUUUAAGCGCUUGGUUUUGUUUGCACUUUCUUUUCAAUCCUUUUCUUUUAUUUGUUUAUCGUGUGGCUUUUUCAGAAACAACGUACUUGUUUUGAUUAUGUUCUUUAUACCUCGUUAACAUUUUGAUGAUUACACUCCUUGGCUAACUGAAUUUUGUAAGGAUAUUUAUUUGUACUUUCUUUUUAAUCCUUUUCUUUUAUUUGUUUAUCGUGUGGCUUUAUCAGAAACAGCGUGCCUGUUUUGAUUAUGUUCUUUAUACCUCGUUAACAUUUUGAUGUUUACACUCCUUGGCUAAAUGAAUUUUGUAAGGAUAUUUAUUUCACUUGUUUUACACUCAGCCCAAAAUGAUAAAAUUAGAACGAUGCAUAGAAAAGAUGUUUGAAGUCAGGAUUCAUAGUGGUGCCACCAAACAAAGAUGAACUGGUAAAUCAAGAAUUCAUUCAAUACCUAAAGGCCACUAAAUUAACUAAACUUCUGGCUUACACUACAUGAUUCAGCUACAAUUGCAGCACAUAUAUGCACAUAUAUAGCCCAUCUAUAGUCCAUGUAGCACAUAUUUUACAGCAACAGAUGCUCGUCUGGUACAAGCAUUCUACUUGGAUCCUUCACUGCAUCUCAUUCUAUAUGAUUGUCUCAUCUUUGAUUGUAGCAUUCUUCAAAAGUAUUGUAAUCCCUUAUCGUAUGUAUAAGCCAUCGGAGGGUCUUUCUGCUUUUGGGACACUAAUAUAAACAAAAAGGCAUCAAGGACAAUUCUUUGUGAAGGUAAGUUGAAGUUUGGAACACUUGCGUCCUUGUUUUCUAUUGAAACAUUUUUUCCUAUCCUCAUUCAUAUGGAUAAUGCAGUUCCUGGAAAGAUGAAGACUUAUAGAUAGUUACUUACACUUAUAAAUUCCUUUCCUGAUACAUGAGCCUUAUUGACUCACCUGAUCCUGGUGUUCUGUCCAACACCAAUUGGAACCUUACCAUCUGCCAGCAUAGAAACAAUUUCAGCUUCAGUUUCAUAGAUAUCAGCACCCAUCAUCAUAGUGUUCUGUGGAACUAAAGGAAUCAAAGCUUUGAUUUAUCAGGCAAAAUAAUCAUACUAUAAAUCAUCCGAAGAAUAAUGAAAUUGACCUUCAAUUCUGGACCAUAGUCGAGCCUCGAGCAUACCCCAACUAUGGAGAUAAUUGCAUCUAGAAUCUGUACAAAUGGCUUGCUAUUUCAGUUUAUACCCAAGUCCAGGGAGUCAGUGGAUCAUAAAAUUCAAACUAAGUAGUUUGUAUUCUAAUUUUUAGCAACCUGCUCUGUUAAUGCCAAAUUUGCAUAUCUGAUUGUUCAAAUAUCUUCCCAGUAGUUGUUGAACAUCUACACCUGCUAGGCUCACAAAGCUCUUAUUUGUUACACGGGCCAAAGACAGUGAAUUACUGUAACAAGGUCUCAAAUUAAGUGAAUUGAAUCAUUUCUUUAUCAUCACCUGAACAUUAUGCCCCUUUACAGCAAGGAAGGAUUUCUGCUCCGAAAUUAAACGUUUGAUUUCGGAUAUUUCCACCUAACCCGAAGGCUAUUUUUGCCACAACGUGAGGCUCCAACUUUCUUCUCAAUUUUCGAAAGCAGAGAUUCCAAUAAUUUAAGGGCAUAAAACCUAAAACUUCUAUCUCUGUCAAGUGUUAACUUCCUCACCUCAUGGAUCCGUAUUAUAAUGGUAAGAAGAUUUUUCUUUUAUGAACUGCAACUUGAAAAAGAGAUUUUGACGAGAUCCAUAUUUAUCCAUGCUAGUUUUCAUCGUAUCAUUCAACUUUUGUUACAAUUAAUCUUCAUAGAGGAAUUGGAAAAUAAUCUCUCUGGAUUUCUUUCAAGCCAUAAUUUGCCGACCUUUGAAUCAGCAAUCGACACGUUGACUGCAAUAGAACAUUUGUUUCCCCACUUGUGUAUUCCGUAGAAAGCAAAAGUAUUGCGUGUUAUUUUGAAUCCUGAUAUAGGGGCGCCGAGGUUUGUCCUUUCAGGAUCGGCGGCGUUUGAUGGCGACGGUGAGGGGAGGGUGAUGGCGGCAGAGCUUGGGCGGCAAACUGUGGAGUUCUCCAUCCUCGUGCAGAGGGUCACGGAUGCCUCUGCUCAAGGUUUAAUAUCUUUGGUAUCUUUCUGCCUUCAGGCAAAGGAAGUAAGAAAAAGGCCAUCGAAGAAAUGGAUCCAAAGAUAAAAGAAGUUACGGAAAACAUGAAAAUUUUACAAAUUUUAUCUUGUUUAGACACCGGAUGCACCUACCUAAUAUCAGCCAUGUAGAGGUAUACAUCUAUUUCGCCAAUGGACCCACAUUUUCCUUAUGGAUUACGAUGCUUAAUUGAUGGUUUUUGCUCA